UACGUAGGGAGCAAGCGUUGUCCGGAAUCAUUGGGCGUAAAGCGCGUGUAGGCGGUUACAUAAGUCUGUGUGAAGUCGGAAGGCUCGAACCGUUCGAAGCCGAACUGGAUGACUGUGUGACUUGAGUACGGAAGAGGAGAGUGGAAUUCCCGGUGUAGCGGUGAAAUGCGCAGAUAUCGGGAAGAACACCCGUGGCGAAGGCGGCUCUCUGGGACGGUACUGACGCUGAGACGCGAAAGCGUGGGGAGCGAACAGG
RNAcentral lists this ribosomal RNA (256 nucleotides) under uncultured bacterium. RNAcentral's name for it is "partial 16S ribosomal RNA". It matches the Rfam family "Bacterial small subunit ribosomal RNA", at positions 524 to 776 of the family's 1533-position model. The record is from RNAcentral.